GUGCUCGCUUCAGCAGCACAUAUACUAAAAUUGGAACCAUACAGAGAUUAGCAUGGCCCCUGGGCAAGGAUGACACGCAAAUUCGUGAAAUGUACCAUAUUUUU
This 104-nucleotide small nuclear RNA is filed under the name Catagonus wagneri (Chacoan peccary). The record is from RNAcentral. Lineage: Eukaryota; Metazoa; Chordata; Mammalia; Artiodactyla; Tayassuidae.